GAUGAACGCUGGCGGCGUGCCUAAUACAUGCAAGUCGAGCGAACAGACGAUGAGCUUGCUCCUCUGACGUUAGCGGCGGACGGGUGAGUAACACGUGGAUCACCUCCUUAUCAUACUGGGAUAUCUUCGGAACUCCGGCGCAUACCCCGGAUAAUCUAUUGAUCCGUAUGGUUGAAUAGUGAAAGUCGGUUUUGCUGUCACUUCUCGCUGCUUCCGCGCCGCAUUAGCUAGUUGGUACGGUCACGGCUUACCACGGCAACGAUGCGUAGCCGAACUGAGGGAGGGGUCGGCCACACGGGAACUGAGACACGGUCCAGACUCCUACGGGAGGGAGCAGUAGGGAAUCUGCCGCAGUGGGCGAAAGCCUGACGGAGCAACGCCGCGUGAGAGAUGAAGGUCUUCGGAUCGUAAAACUCUGUUAUUAGGGAAGAACAAAUGUGUAAGUAACUAUGCACGUCGUGACGGUACCGAAUCAGAAAGCCACGGCUAACUACGUG
RNAcentral lists this ribosomal RNA (497 nucleotides) under uncultured bacterium. RNAcentral's name for it is "partial 16S ribosomal RNA". It matches the Rfam family "Bacterial small subunit ribosomal RNA", at positions 28 to 507 of the family's 1533-position model. The record is from RNAcentral.